This 700-nucleotide ribosomal RNA is filed under the name uncultured bacterium. RNAcentral's name for it is "bacterial SSU rRNA". It matches the Rfam family "Bacterial small subunit ribosomal RNA", at positions 94 to 789 of the family's 1533-position model. The record is from RNAcentral.
AGUGGCGAACGGGUGAGUAAUGCAUCGGAACGUGCCCAGUCGUGGGGGAUAACGCAGCGAAAGCUGCGCUAAUACCGCAUACGAUCUGCGGAUGAAAGCGGGGGACCGUAAGGCCUCGCGCGAUUGGAGCGGCCGAUGUCAGAUUAGGUAGUUGGUGGGGUAAAGGUUCACCAAGCCAACGAUCUGUAGCUGGUCCGAGAGGACGACCAGCCACACUGGGACUGAGACACGGCCCAGACUCCUACGGGAGGCAGCAGUGGGGAAUUUUGGACAAUGGGCGCAAGCCUGAUCCAGCAAUGCCGCGUGCAGGAAGAAGGCCUUCGGGUUGUAAACUGCUUUUGUACGGAACGAAACGGUCCUGGUUAAUACCUGGGGCUAAUGACGGUACCGUAAGAAUAAGCACCGGCUAACUACGUGCCAGCAGCCGCGGUAAUACGUAGGGUGCAAGCGUUAAUCGGAAUUACUGGGCGUAAAGCGUGCGCAGGCGGUUGUGUAAGACAGGCGUGAAAUCCCCGGGCUCAACCUGGGAAUUGCGCUUGUGACUGCACAGCUGGAGUGCGGCAGAGGGGGAUGGAAUUCCGCGUGUAGCAGUGAAAUGCGUAGAUAUGCGGAGGAACACCGAUGGCGAAGGCAAUCCCCUGGGCCUGCACUGACGCUCAUGCACGAAAGCGUGGGGGAGCAAACAGGAUUAGAUACCCUG